RNAcentral lists this ribosomal RNA (433 nucleotides) under uncultured bacterium. RNAcentral describes it as "partial 16S ribosomal RNA". It matches the Rfam family "Bacterial small subunit ribosomal RNA", at positions 29 to 507 of the family's 1533-position model. The record is from RNAcentral.
AACGUACGCUGGCGGCAGGCUUAACACGUGCAAGUCGAGCGAGACCUUCGGGUCUAGCGGCGGACGGGUGAGUAACGCGUGGGAACGUGCCCUCCUCUACGGAAUAGCCCCGGGAAACUGGGAGUAAUACCGUAUACGCCCUUUGGGGGAAAGAUUUAUCGGAGAAGGAUCGGCCCGCGUUGGAUUAGGUAGUUGGUGGGGUAAUGGCCCACCAAGCCGACGAUCCAUAGCUGGUUUGAGAGGAUGAUCAGCCACACUGGGACUGAGACACGGCCCAGACUCCUACGGGAGGCAGCAGUGGGGAAUCUUAGACAAUGGGGGCAACCCUGAUCUAGCCAUGCCGCGUGAGUGAUGAAGGCCUUAGGGUUGUAAAGCUCUUUCAGCUGGGAAGAUAAUGACGGUACCAGCAGAAGAAGCCCCGGCUAACUCCGUG